UUUGACAUACAAGUAGUAGGGAAGGAAACUGGACGACCCUUCGGGAGCUUGUACAGGUGCUGCAUGGCUGUCGUCAGCUCGUGUCGUGAGAUGUUCGGUUAAGUCCGCUAACGAGCGCAACCCUCGCUGUGUGUUACAAGUGUCACACGGAACUGCCGGUCAUAAACCGGAGGAAGUGGGAUGACGUCAAGUCAGCAUGGCCUUUAUAUCCUGGGCUACACACACGCUACAAUGGGAAGGGACAAUAGGUUGCGAAGCCGCGAGGCGGAGCCGAAUCCAGCAAAACUUCCCUCAGUUCAGAUUGCAGGCUGCAACUCGCCUGCAUGAAGUUGGAGUUGCUAGUAAACGCAGGUCAGCCAUACUGCGUUGAAUACGUUCCCGGGGCUU
Molecule: ribosomal RNA, 387 nt
Filed under: uncultured Anaerolineaceae bacterium
Lineage: Bacteria; Bacillati; Chloroflexota; Anaerolineae; Anaerolineales; Anaerolineaceae
Description: bacterial SSU rRNA
Rfam family: Bacterial small subunit ribosomal RNA
Source: RNAcentral